RNAcentral lists this long non-coding RNA (616 nucleotides) under Panax ginseng (ginseng). RNAcentral describes it as "long non-coding RNA (PGIN_LNC010176)". The record is from RNAcentral. Lineage: Eukaryota; Viridiplantae; Streptophyta; Magnoliopsida; Apiales; Araliaceae.
CUGACGAUCAUAGGUUCAGUGAUCACACGGACGGGAAUUUGCUCGAUGAAGGGAUGAGCUAUUUGGCUAAGGUAAAUAAUCAUUCCUUUAUUUUUCUGUCUUUCUGUCCUUAAUUGUAUAUCUGGAUACUGGCUUGAGUACUGUUCCGAACAUAUGCAGGUUAAUGCUGUCUUUGGACGUUUGCGUCCAAGACACAUAAAUGGGGAAGCCGAGGAAGAUUUCAUGCGACAAGAGAUCAAUAUGCUGAGAUCGACCUUGGCUCGAGAAAGGGCCGAUCGAGAAGACUCUCUUUAAGUCAUCGAUGGCCUCCAACGAGACUUGGAUAGAGCUAAGAUGGAUUUGAGGACGUCUGACGACGAAGUAAGGGCCACAAGAGAUAGGUUGGCCGCCUCUGAAGCUAGCCAACAAACUUUAACCGAUCUGAACGCCGGCUUAGUCGAAGAAAACCUGUUGCUGAGGGCAAAAAAUGAGGAGUUUUCUUCGGCCAACCGAAGCCUGGCUAUUCAACUUGGCGAGGCUCAAUCAAAGGCCCAGGAUGAAGGACGGAGACACAAGAACAAACGCCACAAGCUUCGUCUUAAAAUAAAGGAUCUUGAGGGAAGGGGUCCUCUUCUGA